AUCACACUGAGAUACAAAUGGAUGAUUUGACAUAACUAUUUAAAUCAUUUGGAAUUCAGAAAAAAACUUAUGUUCAUGUUGAUAACUCAUUCCUAUUUCUGGGCAUUAUAGAUGGUGAGGAGAAAAACAUCAAAAUAAAAAAAAAUCCAUUGUGGAACUGGAAUGCAAGGAGAGAGAGUCUCUUCAGUAACUCUCUGGUUAUGAAUAAUAUUUGCAAAGAAAGUAAAUUGAAUAAAAGAAGGAGAGCCUGCUUACUGUCUCAAGCAGAUGCAUUUCCGCUUGCAGCAUGGAGCAAUGCAGGAGUUGUAGCAACAGAGAGCUGAACUCAGAUUACACUGCUGCCCACUACUAGCAACUUGGUGGUAAUCAAAG
This 372-nucleotide long non-coding RNA is filed under the name Equus caballus (horse). Its description in RNAcentral is "lncRNA (ENSECAG00000041568.2)". The record is from RNAcentral. Lineage: Eukaryota; Metazoa; Chordata; Mammalia; Perissodactyla; Equidae.